Long non-coding RNA from Micropterus salmoides (largemouth bass), 1053 nucleotides. RefSeq lists it as uncharacterized. The record is from RefSeq and is a predicted model, not a curated record. The transcript is spliced from 2 exons. NCBI's taxonomy places the organism in Eukaryota, Metazoa, Chordata, Actinopteri, Centrarchiformes, Centrarchidae.
CGUGAGCCUUCCCCCCACUGGGGCCCUGGGUAAUCAGUCCCACUUCCCCCCCACUAUGACGCCCAUGUGGGCAGAAAUUGGCUGCUAAAACAUUACCUAGGAUCCUCCAAAAUCUUGCUGAGCAAUUGCUGGCGAAGAAGCAACAACCAAACAACAUCAUUUAUCUGUCUCCUUCCAGGUUUUGUUUUUCAACAAGGGACAGAGCGAUAAAAGCUUCACAGCAUAAACAAACAAAAGGGGCCUUAAAUGGUGCACGUUUAGCUCAAGCACAAAAGGACGCAGUUUAACAGGUGAAUCAUUUGCCUGUGUGCUUUUUGAUUAAAUGCGGUUGGUUUAGCCAAGCUCCUUUAACACACAUUGUGUCACAUGAAAUUGAAUCAAUUUAGAAGCAAUUGCCAAAAUAUGCUCAUCUGGGUUUUUGUAGUGGAAUGAUCAACAGGGCGGAAUAUGUUCAGAUCAGUGUGAUGUGUAAUGUGCCUCCCAUGGAACAGUGUGUCCUGUCUAACCAACUGUGUUAACGUGUGAGUGUAUGUGAGUGUGUCGUUGUCUGUGCCUUAAAGAUCUGAGAGCAGAGCUCGAGCUCGGUCCUCUGCAGCCUGUUGCUAGGUUUCUCUGCGCUCCUCCUGGCAGAACAUAAACCAAGCAGAUGCUUUUGUCUCAGGAAACUGUCCAAUUAGUCAGUGACUGUAUCGGGUCCACAUAUAAACAUGAUCUGAAUUCUGUUUUUAAAUGCAAAGAAUAGAAACCACGUGUUUAACAUCUUCAUCUUUAUUAUUAGUCUUCUCUUACAAUUUUGAUUCGGCUUUGUCAGUAGGUAACUCAUUAAUAGGAGGUUCGGUUUAUGUCAAAAUAGUUGUAUGUUUACGUAUUUUCAGAUUUUAUCAUAGAUAUUGGUGUUUCCAUCUCUCUCUGUCUCAUGCCCUUACCUACUGUUAAACAUGGAUUGGUGUCUGCUGUUUCUGUUUUUCAGGUGCUGUGGACAAAAAACAGAAGCCAUGUAAAUAAAAUAAAAUAAACAUCACCAACAGCGAUAGUGAGAUAUCAUAACACCAA